UGGUAAGCACAGGAAUCAACAAAGAGAUGUUAUAUAACUUCUAUUUAUAUCCUCCUUGCUCACUA
Molecule: small RNA, 65 nt
Filed under: Ursus maritimus (polar bear)
Lineage: Eukaryota; Metazoa; Chordata; Mammalia; Carnivora; Ursidae
Description: sRNA (ENSUMAG00000024220.1)
Source: RNAcentral